Molecule: ribosomal RNA, 484 nt
Filed under: uncultured bacterium
Lineage: Bacteria
Description: partial 16S ribosomal RNA
Rfam family: Bacterial small subunit ribosomal RNA
Source: RNAcentral
AUUGAACGCUGGCGGCAGGCCUAACACAUGCAAGUCGAGCGGAUGAAGGGAGCUUGCUCCUGGAUUCAGCGGCGGACGGGUGAGUAAUGCCUAGGAAUCUGCCUGGUAGUGGGGGAUAACGUCCGGAAACGGGCGCUAAUACCGCAUACGUCCUGAGGGAGAAAGUGGGGGAUCUUCGGACCUCACGCUAUCAGAUGAGCCUAGGUCGGAUUAGCUAGUUGGUGGGGUAAAGGCCUACCAAGGCGACGAUCCGUAACUGGUCUGAGAGGAUGAUCAGUCACACUGGAACUGAGACACGGUCCAGACUCCUACGGGAGGCAGCAGUGGGGAAUAUUGGACAAUGGGCGAAAGCCUGAUCCAGCCAUGCCGCGUGUGUGAAGAAGGUCUUCUGAUUGUAAAGCACCUUAAGUUGGGAGGAAGGGUAGUAAGUUAAUACCUUGCUGUUUUGACGUUACCAACAGAAUAAGCACCGGCUAACUUCGUG